Molecule: long non-coding RNA, 4050 nt
Filed under: Salvia miltiorrhiza (redroot sage)
Lineage: Eukaryota; Viridiplantae; Streptophyta; Magnoliopsida; Lamiales; Lamiaceae
Description: long non-coding RNA (SMIL_LNC005442)
Source: RNAcentral
UGAGCCUAAUUAAGUACUUAUAUAUCAAAAGCUUUGCUCUGCUGACAUCCAUCUGCAUCACAGCUUAACCUGCACAUUUAGAAAACAUAUGCAGGGCUGAGUACUAAAAACAGGGGAAUUUUGAUGAUGAAAAACUUCCGCAAUUCUUCUUUCAAGUUGAUGGGGAGGAGUAGGUCUCUAAAUUAGCCUCAUGGCAGAUGGCUGAUUUUCAUUUCCUCUUUGAGACAUCAUGUUGAGUAAAUACACAAAAUUCUCAAAAUUGAGCUUUCAUCCCAUCAGUAAAGCAAUCACUGCUAAUUAGCUAUAAAUCAACUAAGUUAUAAAACUAAUGCCCAAAAAUUAAACCAUCUAAGCAAUUAAAGCUCAACGGCCUAGUGAAUGACCACUUUGAUCAUUUCAUAGCAUGGGAAAAUUUGCCUCAAUGAGUUCUCAUACAAAAGAUGGAAAUAUACGUUGCAAAAAGGCUCUUAGUACUAAUUGUGAUGCACUAACUGUAUAAUGUCACUUACUAGUACUAGGUUAUAGUGCCACUGACAUAACUUGCUACCGUAUCAUCAAAUUGUCUAUAUCUGCAUCCAUCCAAUGUAUAGAUAUACGUACACACCAUCAUCUAAAAGAUUUUCAUUGCUAUACAACAAAUGAAAAUCCCCCACAUAUCAAGAUACAAGUAUUAAAAUAUGAACAACACUUUAUCCGUUCAAAAAGUUCAUACUAGUAGAGGAUACUCAUAAAUAAACCAUGUUAUUCAUAUUCACUCACUUGUAAACAUGUAAACUUCUCCAAAUACUAGUUUCUUGCAAAAUUGCAAUAUUAAUAACUUUCUUGCAAAGUUGCGAUAUUAAUAACUCUAACUCUUCCAAAACUGUAAAUUGAUACUUUAAAACGCUGAAAAUCCAUACCUGGCUAAGCUGGAUGAGAUGGAGAGCAGAGUUUUUACUAUAUUACUCAUACUAGUCCAAAGAUUCAAAGUUAGACUAGACUCAAAGGAAUAUUUAGGCUCAGAGCAAACGACUGCUCUGAUACCACUUUGUCACAGCCCGACCUAAGCUAGUGAAUAGUUAAGUCGGGAAAAAGUGUGACUGAAAACAAAAUAAGAAAAUGAAAAAGAAAAUAGAUCUCAAUAAAAAUCACUAACCUGCUUAAACAAUAAUUUACCAAAGUAUUUGGUAAUCAUAAACAAUCUCUUCUAAAACUCAAAAGCAGACAACUCACAAUACAUAACGACAAGUUGUCUAAGUAUCAAGUGACAUAGUUCUGUAAGCUAUUAGUUUGAAAUCUUUGCAACCCAUCAAUAAAGUAAAACGCACUAAGCGUUGCAGCGGAAUAGCUUAAGUGGAUUACAUGUAUGAAGACAUGAAAUCCUGAGCCUAAUUAAGUACUUAUAUAUCAAAAGCUUUGCUCUGCUGACAUCCAUCUGCAUCACAGCUUAACCUGCACAUUUAGAAAAUAUAUGCAGGGCUGAGUACUAAAAAGGUACUCAAUGGUCACAUGCCGAAAUAACUUUAAAGAUUGCUCUUAGAGCUAUAAAUUGAACUUGCCAUCUCAAGCAUCACACAGGAGUUUUAUUUAAAUAACCUGUGCACGCCAAAAACUAUAAAACAUCUCUACAAUAAUUAUAAACUUCAUAUGUGUCUGUAGACAUACUUCAUUGUACUAUACCAUAUCUGCAAUGAUAUCUGUGUGCCGAGAAGGUGGCCACCUUCUACGGUCACUGACCGGCCGAUACGCUAAACCGGCUCACGGUCCUAGACCGGCCGAUAUGCUAAACCAGCUCACGGACCUAGACCGGCCGAUACGCUAAACCGGCUCACGGUCCUAGGCCGGCCGAUAUGCUAGAUCGGCUCACGGUCCCUUGUGUACACUAAUCCUGUCUAACAUCUGGAUAGAACAGGAUCCGAAUUCGAUUAACUUCUGGUGCCAGAUAGGUAUCAUACAAGCUCAUAAAAUUUUGGCAAGUCAAUAACUUUAAUAUAACUUUAUUCAUGUAAACAUCAUGAAAUAGUGUGCACUUCAGAUUUUGAGUUUAGAAAGCCCACCUGAUAUGCUUAAUGAAGUAGAAAUCCUUGCUUGUUCACUUUAUAAAGCCACUCGAACCUUCAUUAUAAUGAGGUUCCCAAGGUAAGAUUGAAUAGAUAGACAAGAAAUAAAUAGAAAAGAACUCCUAGUUGAAACUUAUAUCUCUUGAAACUUUAGGGUUGCUUCCUCUAAUCUAAGUAAUCUACUUUUCUGAACUUAACUUAUUAAAAGCAUACUAACAUAUUAUCUAAAUCACAACUUAAUUUACGAUAAUUGUAACUCUGGCGUUAAUCAUAACUCCACUCGCUCUAAUUUAAUGAGUAGCUAUCAACUGGAAAUAAUAUAUAUUGUCUAAUAUAUACCAUAUGAUUUAUGUAUAAAUUAAUCUUAAUGUACUAAAAUAAUUCUACAUAUUUAGGCCAAUUUAAUAAAUCAAAUUAAUUAUUAGCUAAUAAUCCUUCAUUUAAGCUUAUUAAGCUUAAAUUAAAAUACUAUUGAGUUCAAUCAAAUAAAUUAAUGGCCCAACUUAACAAAUUAAUUCUAUCAUCUUAUGUACUACCAAAUUCCAACACAAUUUAUUAUUGCUGAUCCCAUUGAUGUUAAUAGGCCCAAAUAUUAUUUAAACCCAAUAUGAAAUUCUCAAAGCUCAAUUACUCAAAAUAAAUAAAAAACUAAAUACUAGAACUUAAGUCUAGAAUAUGCUAAAGUCAACAUCUCUCUUCUUCUUUCUUUUUCUUUUUACGCAGACUCCAUUUGUCUCUGUUCUCUCACCUGCGUCUCUCACUUUCCCUCUCCCUCUCGCCCGGCGACGUCGCCGGUCCUCCCCGCCUCCGGCGUGGCGAGGCCGGCUCCUCAUCUUCUCCUUCCUCUCUAUUCCCUAUUUCUUUCUCUAAUUCUAAAAUUCCCAAUUUCUAGGGUUUUCGGCCUCCCUUUCCCCUCUGAAAUUCGCCUCUCCGGCGAGUGCUGCCUCUGCCACCGCCGUCUCCGUCGCACCACCGCCACCUCUGUCUCAGGUAAUCUAUCUUCCUCCCUCUCUCACGAUCGAUCUCUCUCUGUCCUCUCUCUCUCUCUCUCCCUCUCGAUCUUCCCCUCUGCCCUCUUGCUUGCGGCGGCAGCGGCAGCGCAUGUAGCGCCGGCGGUCGCCGCCGCUCUGCUCUUCUCUCCCUGCCUCUAUCUCGCUCUACUUUCUCUCAUGUCCGUGUCUCUCUGUCUUUGUCUUACUCUCUGUUUCUCUCCCUCGCUCAAACUCUCUCUGCUACUGGCGGCCACCGCGGACCGCCGUGGCGCAGGCAACGCCGGCAGUCGCGCCUUUGCCGCGGUGGCUCGCGGCUGCUGCUAUCGCUUGCCUCUUCUUCCUCCUCUGUUUCUGUUUCUCUUACUUUCUUUCUUUUCUAGUUUAAUAGCUUGUUUAGCAAAUUCCUAACUAUUUCCUUAUCUCAGGAAUCGAUGAUUCAACUCCGGCGAGGCAGCCCGCCUCCUGAUCAAUGCUCAAGAUUCUAUUUUUUCUACCUUUCUUAUUGUAAAUUUAUGUUCUUUCAUUGAUUGAUUAUUGAAAAACUGAAGCUGUAAUGGUUGGGAAAUCGUACUGUGCUUAUAGAAAUUAGAGUUAGAGAUAUCUGUUUGUGCUUAACUGGUGUAGCUAUGUCUUUUUCACUGCUUUUCUUUACAUACUGAAUAUACUGUAUUGAAUAAGAAAGACUACCUUCUUUGAUGUCCGCUGGGGAGGAUGUGUGUUUGAAUGGAUGAUUGCUGCUUGUUUAAGAUUUGCAGAAUGGAAACAAAAACGGAAUUACUGAGGCUACUCAAGAUAUACUGGUUUGAGUCGGUUGAUGUGAAGCAGCUGCGUAAAAGUUACAAGCUACGCGUCCUUCUGUUAGCUAAUCUGACUUAACAACUCUAAUUAAUGUCUUAAAUCUAAUUAAAAGUUAAUUACUUUACUAAUGAUAUAAAGGAUUGGACUUGGACUUCUUUCUAUAUAAUAAAACAACUAGCCCAUAUGAUAAGCUUUGGGCUUCAGAAUUAAUUGAAUAAUUG